CAGAAAAUAGUUUAAUAAAAAUAUUAAUUUUGGGGAUUAAUGAUGUAAUAAUUUAUUUUUCUGA
RNAcentral lists this transfer RNA (64 nucleotides) under Noterus clavicornis. Its description in RNAcentral is "tRNA-Pro". Lineage: Eukaryota; Metazoa; Arthropoda; Insecta; Coleoptera; Noteridae. The record is from RNAcentral. RNAcentral also lists the same sequence under 1 other name.